AGAGUUUGAUCCUGGCUCAGAUUGAACGCUGGCGGCAUGCCUUACACAUGCAAGUCGAACGGCAGCACGGGGGCAACCCUGGUGGCGAGUGGCGAACGGGUGAGUAACAUAUCGGAACGUGCCCUGGAGUGGGGGAUAACUAGUCGAAAGAUUAGCUAAUACCGCAUACGAUCUACGGAUGAAAGUGGGGGAUCGCAGGACCUCAUGCUCGUGGAGCGGCCGAUAUCUGAUUAGCUAGUUGGUGGGGUAAAAGCCUACCAAGGCAUCGAUCAGUAGCUGGUCUGAGAGGACGACCAGCCACACUGGGACUGAGACACGGCCCAGACUCCUACGGGAGGCAGCAGUGGGGAAUUUUGGACAAUGGGCGCAAGCCUGAUCCAGCAAUGCCGCGUGAGUGAAGAAGGCCUUCGGGUUGUAAAGCUCUUUUGUCAGGGAAGAAACGGUGAGGGCUAAUAUCCCUUGCUAAUGACGGUACCUGAAGAAUAAGCACCGGCUAACUACGUGCCAGCAGCCGCGGUAAUACGUAGGGUGCAAGCGUUAAUCGGAAUUACUGGGCGUAAAGCGUGCGCAGGCGGUUGUGCAAGACCGAUGUGAAAUCCCCGGGCUUAACCUGGGAAUGGCAUUGGUGACUGCACGGCUAGAGUGUGUCAGAGGGGGGUAGAAUUCCACGUGUAGCAGUGAAAUGCGUAGAGAUGUGGAGGAAUACCGAUGGCGAAGGCAGCCCCCUGGGAUAACACUGACGCUCAUGCACGAAAGCGUGGGGAGCAAACAGGAUUAGAUACCCUGGUAGUCCACGCCCUAAACGAUGUCAACUAGUUGUCGGGUCUUAAUUGACUUGGUAACGCAGCUAACGCGUGAAGUUGACCGCCUGGGGAGUACGGUCGCAAGAUUAAAACUCAAAGGAAUUGACGGGGACCCGCACAAGCGGUGGAUGAUGUGGAUUAAUUCGAUGCAACGCGAAAAACCUUACCUACCCUUGACAUGGCAGGAAUCCCUGAGAGAUCAGGGAGUGCUCGAAAGAGAACCUGCACACAGGUGCUGCAUGGCUGUCGUCAGCUCGUGUCGUGAGAUGUUGGGUUAAGUCCCGCAACGAGCGCAACCCUUGUCAUUAGUUGCUACGAAAGGGCACUCUAAUGAGACUGCCGGUGACAAACCGGAGGAAGGUGGGGAUGACGUCAAGUCCUCAUGGCCCUUAUGGGUAGGGCUUCACACGUCAUACAAUGGUACAUACAGAGGGCCGCCAACCCGCGAGGGGGAGCUAAUCCCAGAAAGUGUAUCGUAGUCCGGAUUGCAGUCUGCAACUCGACUGCAUGAAGUUGGAAUCGCUAGUAAUCGCGGAUCAGCAUGUCGCGGUGAAUACGUUCCCGGGUCUUGUACACACCGCCCGUCACACCAUGGGAGCGGGUUUUACCAGAAGUAGGUAGCUUAACCGCAAGGAGGGCGCUUACCACGGUAGGAUUCGUGACUGGGGUGAAGUCGUAACAAGGUAACC
RNAcentral lists this ribosomal RNA (1492 nucleotides) under uncultured bacterium. RNAcentral's name for it is "bacterial SSU rRNA". It matches the Rfam family "Bacterial small subunit ribosomal RNA". The record is from RNAcentral.